GAUGAACGCUAGCGGCAGGCCUAAUACAUGCAAGUCGGACGGGAUUCAGGAGCUUGCUUCUGAUGAGAGUGGCGCACGGGUGCGUAACACGUAUGUAACCUACCUUUAUCAGGGGGAUAGCCUCUCGAAAGAGAGAUUAAGCCCGCAUAAAAUCACAGCACAGCAUUGUGUAAUGAUCAAAUAUUUAUAGGAUAAAGAUGGGCAUGCGGAACAUUAGCUAGAUGGCGGGGUAACGGCCCACCAUGGCGACGAUGUUUAGGGGAUCUGAGAGGAUGGCCCCCCACACUGGUACUGAGACACGGACCAGACUCCUACGGGAGGCAGCAGUAAGGAAUAUUGGUCAAUGGGCGGAAGCCUGAACCAGCCAUGCCGCGUGCAGGAAGACGGCCCUACGGGUUGUAAACUGCUUUUAUACGGGAAUAAACCCAGAUACGUGUAUCUGGCUGAAUGUACUGUAAGAAUAAGGGUCGGCUAACUCCGUGC
This 483-nucleotide ribosomal RNA is filed under the name uncultured bacterium. RNAcentral describes it as "partial 16S ribosomal RNA". It matches the Rfam family "Bacterial small subunit ribosomal RNA", at positions 28 to 508 of the family's 1533-position model. The record is from RNAcentral.